GAUGAAGAACGCAGCGAAAUGCGAUAAGUAAUGUGAAUUGCAGAAUUCAGUGAAUCAUCGAAUCUUUGAACGCACAUUGCGCCCGCCAGCACUCUGGCGGGCAUGCCUGUUCGAGCGUCAUUUCAACCAUCAAGCCCCCAGGGGCUUGUGCUGGGGCCCUGCGGCUGCCCGCAGGCCCUGAAAACCAGUGGCGGGCUCGCUAGUCACACCGAGCGCAGUAGCAAAUCUCGCUCAGGGCGUGCGGCGGGCUCCUGCCGUGAAACCCCCCACUGUAACCCCAAAGGUUGACCUCGGAUCAGGUAGGAAUACCCGCUGAACUUAAGCAUAUCAAUAAGCGGAGGA
RNAcentral lists this unclassified non-coding RNA (342 nucleotides) under soil metagenome. Its description in RNAcentral is "partial contains 5.8S ribosomal RNA, internal transcribed spacer 2, and large subunit ribosomal RNA". The stretch from base 1 to 120 matches the Rfam family "5.8S ribosomal RNA", at positions 35 to 154 of the family's 154-position model. The record is from RNAcentral.